Molecule: ribosomal RNA, 254 nt
Filed under: uncultured bacterium
Lineage: Bacteria
Description: partial 16S ribosomal RNA
Rfam family: Bacterial small subunit ribosomal RNA
Source: RNAcentral
UACGUAGGCAGCAAGCGUUGUUCGGAGUUACUGGGCGUAAAGGGUGCGUAGGCUGCUUUUUAAGUUUGGUGUGAAAUCUCCCGGCUCAACUGGGGGGGGUGCGCCGAAUACUGAGAGGCUAGAGUGUGGGAGAGGAAAGUGGAAUUCCUGGUGUAGCGGUGAAAUGCGUAGAUAUCAGGAGGAACACCGGUGGCGAAAGCGGCUCACUGGACCACAACUGACGCUGAGGCGCGAAAGCGUGGGGAGCAAACAGG